GAGUUUGAUCAUGGCUCAGGACGAACGCUGGCGGCGUGCCUAAUACAUGCAAGUCGAACGAGGCUUUUUGAUUGAUGCUUGCAUCAGCUAAAAAGCCGAGUGGCGAAUGGGUGAGUAACACGUGGGUAACCUGCCUUGAAGUGGGGGAUAACAUUUGGAAACAGAUGCUAAUACCGCAUAACCACAAAAACCCCCUGGUUUUUGUGUCAAAGAUGGUUCUGCUAUCACUUCAAGAUGGACCCGCGGCGUAUUAGCUUGUUGGUGAGGUAACGGCUCACCAAGGCAAUGAUACGUAGCCGAACUGAGAGGUUGAUCGGCCACAUUGGGACUGAGACACGGCCCAAACUCCUACGGGAGGCAGCAGUAGGGAAUCUUCCACAAUGGACGCAAGUCUGAUGGAGCAACGCCGCGUGAGUGAAGAAGGUCUUCGGAUCGUAAAACUCUGUUGUCAGAGAAGAACGUGCGUGAGAGCAACUGUUCAUGCAGUGACGGUAUCUGACCAGAAAGUCACGGCUAACUACGUGCCAGCAGCCGCGGUAAUACGUAGGUGGCAAGCGUUGUCCGGAUUUAUUGGGCGUAAAGGGAACGCAGGCGGUCUUUUAAGUCUGAUGUGAAAGCCUUCGGCUUAACCGAAGUCGUGCAUUGGAA
RNAcentral lists this ribosomal RNA (648 nucleotides) under uncultured Lactobacillus sp. Its description in RNAcentral is "bacterial SSU rRNA". It matches the Rfam family "Bacterial small subunit ribosomal RNA", at positions 9 to 631 of the family's 1533-position model. The record is from RNAcentral. Lineage: Bacteria; Bacillati; Bacillota; Bacilli; Lactobacillales; Lactobacillaceae.